UAAGAAUCUGAUAAAUAGGUAAUGUAAUCCCACCUAAGAAAAUAAAUACUCGGACAUCCUAACACCCGGUCCAUCAUCAAGACUCGCCCUCCCAUAGAUAAAGUGAGUUUCAACACAAAGUUACUACUAUCAGGCAUAGCUCAACGUAUCCCCACUACGCCUGUAAUCGCGGGAUCACCUACCUAUCAGUUGGUGAUAUCACUUAUCAAGCAACCGGCCACAUCAUCGCCGAAUUAUUAAAAAAUAUUAUAU
This 252-nucleotide long non-coding RNA is filed under the name Manihot esculenta (cassava). RNAcentral describes it as "long non-coding RNA (MESC_LNC004871)". The record is from RNAcentral. Lineage: Eukaryota; Viridiplantae; Streptophyta; Magnoliopsida; Malpighiales; Euphorbiaceae.